Molecule: unclassified non-coding RNA, 89 nt
Filed under: Pseudomonas sp. B10
Lineage: Bacteria; Pseudomonadati; Pseudomonadota; Gammaproteobacteria; Pseudomonadales; Pseudomonadaceae
Source: RNAcentral
UGUGGGAGCUGGCUUGCCAGCGAUGAGGUCAGCACAUCCAGCAUUGAUGUAGCAGAUAUACCGCCAUCGCUGGCAAGCCAGCUCCCACA